GAUAUUUACAAGGUUAGCUUAUGAAGGAAGAUUUUCUCCUCCUUUUCUUCCAACAAAGUCGUCCCCUUUCCUCUGCCAAACCCUUAGUUUGUUUUUUUUUAAUUUCUUUGAUUUCAAGAGGCACUCCAAUUAUACAAGAGGUUAUCCAAUAGCGCCACUGCUCGGAGCUUGCUCGACGUGCCGCGACGUCUCAUCUCUCCCGACGAAGCGGAAGCUGCCGUUGCUCUGGUUCGAUGAUGCUGCGUCUUUCUUGGCCGAGAAUCGACGCGCCACCGUUGCUCCCUCCUCGGUUCUCUCUCUUUACAACUCUAAGGGAGGGUGGGGUCUUCUUCUAGGCUGAGCCCUAGCUGCACUUCCUCGUUAAUCGCCAUCGCCGUGUUCUGGAUUCUAGCAGCGAAAGUUACGCCGCUGCUGUUCCUGGCAAUUCCCAUCUUCUCGUCGCUCGGCGUCGAUCCACGGCUCACCCCCAUGGAACAGGGACCGCUGGCCUUCCCUUAAUCACCUAAAGCUAAGCCCUUCUUCCUCUUUAUGUUCUAUGGGGUAAAUUCAAAUGAUGUUGUUGUGUACUAGUUAACCCUAGUGGAGUUGUGGCUCUCCUUGCUUGUUCAUAAGUGAAUUUGGGCAUUCUUGAGGUAAGAUAGCUAAAUAUUUGAUGCUUAUGUAAUUGAACUCUUGGGAGCGUGGAAUGUGAUUAUGUGAUAAAAAUUGGGGGAUAUUGGGCAUGUUACUAUGUGUUGAGCCAAUUUUGAUUUAUGAAUAAGGGAAGAACUACUUUUAGUAUUGAUUGGAGAAGUUGUGGUGAUUAAUUGUGUUAUAACUUGCUUGCUUUGUGUUGAUGAGUUAAACAUGAGUUAAAUUUCAAGCUAAAGCAUGCUAAUGUGUAGUAAGAUGAUGUAUUGAGUUCCUAUGGUUUGUAUUUGACAAACGUAUGAAUUAUAUGUUAAGUUGAAACAAAGGGGCUUUGCUGUCAGUUUUCAGCUUGACAGGGCAGUAUGUUUCGAGGUGCUUUUGAUGAUGUUUUCGUAAUCCAAAUAACUUGAAAUUUUUACUGUAAUAACUUCAU
Molecule: long non-coding RNA, 1063 nt
Filed under: Salvia miltiorrhiza (redroot sage)
Lineage: Eukaryota; Viridiplantae; Streptophyta; Magnoliopsida; Lamiales; Lamiaceae
Description: long non-coding RNA (SMIL_LNC012146)
Source: RNAcentral